CUACCAAGGCGACGAUCAGUAGGGGAGCUGAGAGGUUUUUCCCCCACACGGGCACUGAGACACGGGCCCGACUCCUACGGGAGGCAGCAGUAGGGAAUAUUGGGCAAUGGAUGGAAGUCUGACCCAGCCAUCCCGCGUGCCGGAAGACGGCCCUCAGGGUUGUAAACGGCUUUUGACGGUGAAGAAUAGGCGGGAUGCGUCCUGUUUUGACGGUAGCCGUUGAAUAAGCACCGGCUAACUCCGUGCCAGCAGCCGCGGUAAUACGGAGGGUGCGAGCGUUGUCCGGAUUUAUUGGGUUUAAAGGGUGCGUAGGCUGGGAGGUAAGUCAGCGGUGAAAAGCACACGCUUAACGGGUGUCUUGCCGCAGAUACUACUUUUCUUGGAUGAGGAGGAGGUCACUGGAACGGAUGGUGUAGCGGUGAAAUGCGUAGAUAUCAUCCAGAACACCGAUUGCGAAGGCAGGUGACUGUACCUUAAUCGACGCUGAGGCACGAAAGCGUGGGGAGCGAACAGGAUUAGAUACCCUGGUAGUCCACGCCGUAAACGAUGAGGACUAGCUGUUGGGCCUAUAGGGUUCAGUGGCAAAGGGAAACCGUUAAUCCUCCAC
Molecule: ribosomal RNA, 607 nt
Filed under: uncultured Bacteroidota bacterium
Lineage: Bacteria; Pseudomonadati; Bacteroidota
Description: bacterial SSU rRNA
Rfam family: Bacterial small subunit ribosomal RNA
Source: RNAcentral